CGCCUGCCCAGUGACAAAAAGUUAAACGGCCGCGGUAUUCUGACCGUGCUAAGGUAGCGCAAUCACUUGUCUUUUAAAUGAAGACCCGUAUGAAUGGCAUCACGAGGGCUCACCUGUCUCCUCUCUUCGGUCAAUGAAAUUGAUCUGCCCGUGCAGAAGCGGACAUAAACGCGUUAGACGAGAAGACCCUAUGGAGCUUAAGACAAAAGGCCAAUCGCGUUUAACGACUAAUAAACCGACCGGAUUAAAGAGUAUCUAAACUCUGUGAUAAGAUGGCCAGAAUGUCUUCGGUUGGGGCGACCUCGGAGGAAAAACAAGCCUCCGUGUGGACUGGGGUUUAUAAUUUACCCUAAAACUAAGAAGUACAAAUCUAAGUAGCAAAAAAUUUGACCAAUAAUGACCCGGAAUUAAUCCGAUCAACGAACCAAGUUACCCUAGGGAUAACAGCGCAAUCCCUUCCCAGAGUCCAUAUCGACGAAGGGGUUUACGACCUCGAUGUUGGAUCAGGACAUCCUAAUGGUGCAGCCGCUAUUAAGGGUUCGUUUGUUCAA
Molecule: ribosomal RNA, 551 nt
Filed under: Notacanthus bonaparte (shortfin spiny eel)
Lineage: Eukaryota; Metazoa; Chordata; Actinopteri; Notacanthiformes; Notacanthidae
Description: partial 16S ribosomal RNA
Rfam family: Bacterial large subunit ribosomal RNA
Source: RNAcentral